GAACCGUCCAAACGUUUAUUCGGAAUCACUGGGCUUAAAGGGUACGUAGGCGGCUUGGAAAGUUGGGUGUGAAAUCCCUCGGCUCAACCGAGGAACUGCACUCAAAACUACCAGGCUUGAGGGAGACAGAGGUGAGCGGAACUCAGGGUGGAGCGGUGGAAUGCGUUGAUAUCCUGGGGAACACCAGUUGCGAAGGCGGCUCACUGGGUCUCUUCUGACGCUGAGGUACGAAAGCUAGGGGAGCGAACGGGAUUAGAUACCCCGGGUAGUCCUAGCUGUAAACGUUGAGCACUGGAUCGGAGGAUUUCGGUUUUCCGGUCGUAGCGAAAGUGUUAAGUGCUCCGCUGGGGAGUAUGGUCGCAAGGCUG
This 368-nucleotide ribosomal RNA is filed under the name uncultured organism. Its description in RNAcentral is "partial 16S ribosomal RNA". It matches the Rfam family "Bacterial small subunit ribosomal RNA", at positions 527 to 896 of the family's 1533-position model. The record is from RNAcentral.